GAAAUGCCGAUGAUUAAGAGUAGUAGUCAGAUUGAUCUGCUUACAGAGAGCUGGUAAAAAGGUGCAAGCCGGCAGCGGAUUCUGAAUGAAUGGACUUAUAGGCUCGGGAGGAAAGGGAAAUCCCAAGUAAUGCCCGACGGGAGCUUCAUCCGUUAUCAGCGGAGCAUAUAUUUUGUAUAUGAAAUUAAGAGGGCGUUUUACGCCAAGCCGGGUGGCACCGCAGAAGUUAUGACUUUUGUCCCAGUA
Molecule: non-coding RNA, 246 nt
Filed under: Anaerocolumna xylanovorans
Lineage: Bacteria; Bacillati; Bacillota; Clostridia; Lachnospirales; Lachnospiraceae
Description: T-box sequence
Rfam family: T-box leader
About the family: Uncharged tRNA acts as the effector for transcription antitermination of genes in the T-box leader family. T-boxes are found upstream of many aminoacyl-tRNA synthetase genes and some amino acid biosynthetic genes usually in Gram-positive bacteria.
Source: RNAcentral